Molecule: ribosomal RNA, 706 nt
Filed under: Bathynellidae gen. sp. 1 BA-2012
Lineage: Eukaryota; Metazoa; Arthropoda; Malacostraca; Bathynellacea; Bathynellidae
Description: SSU rRNA
Rfam family: Eukaryotic small subunit ribosomal RNA
Source: RNAcentral
CAAACCGCGAAUGGCUCCUUUAAACAGUUAUGGUUCAUUGGAUCUUACCUUAUGGUACUUGGAUAACUGUGGCAAUUCUAGAGCUAAUACAUGCAAGCAAGCCCCGACCGGCGACGGGAAGGGCGCUUUUAUUAGAUCAAAACCAAUCGGGCCUCUCGGGGCCCGUCAACACAGUGGUGACUCUGAUAACUUUGUGCUGAGCGCACGGCCUCCGUGCCGGCGCCGCAUCCUUCAAGUGUCUGCCUUAUCAGCUUUCGAUGGUAGGCCACGCGCCUACCAUGGCUAUAACGGGUAACGGGGAAUCAGGGUUCGAUUCCGGAGAGGGAGCCUGAGAGACGGCUACCACAUCUAAGGAAGGCAGCAGGCACGCAAAUUACCCACUCCCGGCACGGGGAGGUAGUGACGAAAAAUAACGAUGCGGGACUCAUCCGAGGCCUCGCAAUCGGAAUGAGUACACUUUAAAUCCUUGCCAUGAGGAUCUAUUGGAGGGCAAGUCUGGUGCCAGCAGCCGCGGUAAUUCCAGCUCCAAUAGCGUAUAUUAAAGUUGUUGCGGUUAAAAAGCUCGUAGUUGGAUUCGAGUCGCGGAGCGACGGUACACCGCCCGGUGCUUACCGUUCGUCUUCCGGACGUAUGUGUCGGCGUGGCACGGGGUGCUCUUCACCGAGUGUCCCGCGGCCGCCGACGAGUUUACUUUGAAAAAAUUAGA